ACCAUUCUUCUGCUUUGGAAUGCUUUGGAAGUAUUCUUCAGUAAUGAUUCUUAGGUAGAAUGUAAGGGAGAGAGAGGGGGUGGGAGAGAGAGGGAGGGAGAGAGAGAGAGUAGAGAGAGGGAGAGGGAGAGAGGGAGGGAGAGGGAGAGGGAGAGGGAGAGAGAGGAGAGAGAGAAAGAGGGAGAGGGAGAAGGAGAGAGAGAGAGAGAGGAGAGAGAGAGAGAGAGAGAGAGAGAGAGAGAGAGAGAGAGAGAGAGAGAGAGAGAGAGAGAGGGAGAGGGAGAGGGAGAGGGAGAGGGAGAGAGGGAGAGGGGAGGAAGAGAGAGAGAGAGAGAGAGAGAGAGAGAGAGAGAGAGAGAGAGAGAGAGAGAGGAGAGAUACA
This 382-nucleotide long non-coding RNA is filed under the name Monodelphis domestica (gray short-tailed opossum). RNAcentral's name for it is "lncRNA (ENSMODG00000042274.1)". Lineage: Eukaryota; Metazoa; Chordata; Mammalia; Didelphimorphia; Didelphidae. The record is from RNAcentral.